UACGUAGGUGGCAAGCGUUGUCCGGAAUUAUUGGGCGUAAAGCGCGCGCAGGCGGUCCUUUAAGUCUGAUGUGAAAGCCCACGGCUCAACCGUGGAGGGUCAUUGGAAAGUGGGGGACUUGAGUGCAGAAGAGGAGAGUGGAAUUCCACGUGUAGCGGUGAAAUGCGUAGAGAUGUGGAGGAACACCAGUGGCGAAGGCGACUCUCUGGUCUGUAACUGACGCUGAGGCGCGAAAGCGUGGGGAGCAAACAGG
Molecule: ribosomal RNA, 253 nt
Filed under: uncultured bacterium
Lineage: Bacteria
Description: partial 16S ribosomal RNA
Rfam family: Bacterial small subunit ribosomal RNA
Source: RNAcentral